GACGAAAGGAGCUAGCUCACCAUAAAGGAGUCUCUCUGGUGUAUCGGCACCUAUGAAUCAUGGUGUCAGUGCCUAAGGUGCGUAAUCAUGCCGAUGGUGCAAGAAUGCGUGUGCUGCCAGGAUUACACCGAGGUGCAACAAAAGCAACCAAAAGGAUGCAUAACGUAACACAACUACUUCGGCGUAUUAUGCUUAGACACGGAAGUGCUUUCUGUGGCAUUCUGCGAGCCACUCGACAAGAAUGCAUCAAUGCCACUGGAGAAACAAUACAAAAGGUUUUGCUUUGCUGCUUAUAGGCAGUUUACACUUUGGAUCUGGGGAUAUUGGAACAAGAUAACCGAAAAAUCCUCCCAGGCUGUGCUGUCACACGCAUUAGACAGGCAUUUCCUUCUACGUCCUACACGGGCUUCAAAAGUUGGAAUUCCUCAGUCUACAUUAUUUGCAAAAUAAUAAAUAAAAACUGUAUCAAGAUAAACA
Molecule: long non-coding RNA, 477 nt
Organism: Ornithodoros turicata
Lineage: Eukaryota; Metazoa; Arthropoda; Arachnida; Ixodida; Argasidae
Exons: 3
Source: RefSeq, a predicted model, not a curated record